AGGACAAACGCUGGCGGCGUACCUAAGACAUGCAAGUCGAACGGGCUGUAGGUCUUCGGACCUGCGGUUAGUGGCGAACGGGUGAGUAACGCGUAGGAACCCGCCUCGACGUGGGGGAUAACACUUGGAAACAGGUGCUAAUACCGCAUGUGGUCGAGAGAAGAAAGGCCUUCGGGCCGCGUUGAGAGGGGCCUGCGUCCGAUUAGCUUGUUGGUGGGGUAACGGCCUACCAAGGCGUCGAUCGGUAGCU
RNAcentral lists this ribosomal RNA (250 nucleotides) under uncultured bacterium. RNAcentral's name for it is "partial small subunit ribosomal RNA". It matches the Rfam family "Bacterial small subunit ribosomal RNA", at positions 26 to 288 of the family's 1533-position model. The record is from RNAcentral.